GACGAACGCUGGCGGCGUGCUUAACACAUGCAAGUCGAACGGAAAGGCCCUGCUUUUGUGGGGUGCUCGAGUGGCGACCGGGUGAGUAACACGUGAGUAACCUGCCCUUGAUUUUGGGAUAACUUCAGGAAACUGGGGCUAAUACCGGAUAGGAGCUCCUGCUGCAUGGUGGGGGUUGGAAAGUUUCGGCGGUUGGGGAUGGACUCGCGGCUUAUCAGCUUGUUGGUGGGGUAGUGGCUUACCAAGGCUUUGACGGGUAGCCGGCCUGAGAGGGUGACCGGCCACAUUGGGACUGAGAUACGGCCCAGACUCCUACGGGAGGCAGCAGUGGGGAAUAUUGCACAAUGGGCGGAAGCCUGAUGCAGCAACGCCGCGUGCGGGAUGACGGCCUUCGGGUUGUAAACCGCUUUCGCCUGUGACGAAGCGUGAGUGACGGUAAUGGGUAAAGAAGCACCGGCUAACUACGUG
Molecule: ribosomal RNA, 468 nt
Filed under: uncultured bacterium
Lineage: Bacteria
Description: partial 16S ribosomal RNA
Rfam family: Bacterial small subunit ribosomal RNA
Source: RNAcentral